Molecule: long non-coding RNA, 272 nt
Filed under: Dermacentor andersoni
Lineage: Eukaryota; Metazoa; Arthropoda; Arachnida; Ixodida; Ixodidae
Description: uncharacterized LOC126525212
Source: RNAcentral
ACUGAGGAUUGCCCAUGAGCUCCGCGAGACAUUUUUGGGUCAAGUGCGCUGGCUGGGCUGGAUGGACAGAGAAACCAAGGAAGUCGCUAUGAGGAAGAUUAAAGCCAUGAAGAUAGAAAUUUCUGACGGGAAGACAUCAGACGACGGGGUUGUUGACGUGUGGCAUGACGACUUUCCUUUUGCUGGGAUAGAGUUGAACUUCAGGCGGAAUGCGACUGCGAAAUUACUUAAGUGGCUCCUAAGAAAUGACACGGGUGAUGACUGCAAAGGGC